This 585-nucleotide ribosomal RNA is filed under the name uncultured bacterium. RNAcentral describes it as "partial 16S ribosomal RNA". It matches the Rfam family "Bacterial small subunit ribosomal RNA", at positions 355 to 1375 of the family's 1533-position model. The record is from RNAcentral.
UGGGGAAUUUUGGACAAUGGGCGAAAGCCUGAUCCAGCAAUGCCGCGUGUGUGAAGAAGGCCUUCGGGUUGUAAAGCACUUUUGUCCGGAAAGAAAUCCUUGGCUCUAAUACAGUCGGGGGAUGACGGUACCGGAAGAAUAAGCACCGGCUAACUACGUGCCAGCAGCCGCGGUAAUACGUAGGGUGCAAGCGUUAAUCGGAAUUACUGGGCGUAAAGCGUGCGCAGGCGGUUUGCUAAGACCGAUGUGAAAUCCCCGGGCUCAACCUGGGAACUGCAUUGGUGACUGGCAGGCUAGAGUAUGGCAGGAGGGGGGUAGAAUUCCACGUGUAGCAGUGAAAUGCGUAGAGAUGUGGAGGAAUACCGAUGGCGAAGGCAGCCCCCUGGGCCAAUACUGACGCUCAUGCACGAAAGCGUGGGGAGCAAACAGGAUUAGAUACCCUGGUAGUCCACGCCCUAAACGAUGUCAACUAGUUGUUGGGGAUUCAUUCCUUAGUAACGUAGCUAACGCGUGAAGUUGACCGCCUGGGGAGUACGGUCGCAAGAUUAAAACUUAAAGGAAUUGACGGGGUCAUAGCUGUUUCCU